Molecule: long non-coding RNA, 4783 nt
Filed under: Chlamydomonas reinhardtii
Lineage: Eukaryota; Viridiplantae; Chlorophyta; Chlorophyceae; Chlamydomonadales; Chlamydomonadaceae
Description: long non-coding RNA (CREI_LNC000042)
Source: RNAcentral
UUCACCACGCUCAGCCCCUCCAAGGCCACCUUCACCUUGCCGUACACAUCGUCCGGAGCCGCCACAGCGCUGAUCACGUGGCACUUGCCCUGCGUAAGGUAGUGGUCCUUCACGGGCAGCGACUGAUCCAGGAAGGUGCGGAAGCGCUUGCGAAUGGUGUCGGCGUUGUCGUCGCUGCGGCCGCUGGUCUCCCCGCGCUUCAGCAGGCGCUUCUCCAUCUCCUCCUCCGGGCAGUCGAAGAACAGCACCGUCUUGCACGGCAUAAUGCUGCUCUCAAACUGCUCCGCCUGGUCCAGCGCGCGCGGAAAGCCGUCGAUGAGGAAGAACUUGCCACCGCUGGCUAUCAUGUCCCGCUUCAGCAGGUUGAGCGUGACAGCCACCGGCACGAGCUUGCCCUCCUUCAUCAGCGCCUCGCACUUCUGGCCGACCUCGCUGCCGCUCUUCACCUCAGCGCGCAGCAGGUCGCCGGCGCUGAGGUGCACGCAAUCGUAGUCGGCCUUAAUCUUGUCGCACUGCGUGCCCUUGCCGCUGCCGGGGCCACCGAGCACGAACACAAUCUGGGCAUCGGCGGGCAGGCUGCCGGGCACGGACGGCAGCGCAAUCUCCUGUGAAGGGAGCAUGGAUUAAAAAUGUUGUAAGAUAUGUGAAAAUCGGUCGUUUCACAUGCGAGUGCUGAACCCAUCAGCCGUCAACGUGAAUCCAUCAAGACAUGCAAACCGGAUCCCGGAAUGUGCAUGCAUAUGCGCGCCCAAGCACAAGCACAAGAUGCAAGCCGUUUACGGCAAACACCACGCCUAGGGACCAGAGUGCCACAAAGCCCGCCCAAGCAAAGCCCCACCCACCUCCGACUUCUUGGGUGCGCCCAUAGCGUCCAGCGCCGCCUUCACCUUGCCGUACACCUCCUUUGGGGGAGGGACAGCGCUGAUCACGUGGCACUUGCCCUGCGCAAGGUAGUGGUCCUUCACAGGCAGCGACUGAUCCAGGAAGGUGCGGAAGCGCUUGCGAAUGGUGUCGGCGUUGUCGUCGCUGCGGCCGCUGGUCUCCCCGCGCUUCAGCAGGCGCUUCUCCAUCUCCUCCUCCGGGCAGUCGAAGAACAGCACCGUCUUGCACGGCAUGAUGCUGCUCUCAAACUGCUCCGCCUGGUCCAGCGCGCGUGGAAAGCCGUCGAUGAGGAAGAACUUGCCGCCGCUGGCUAUCAUGUCCCGCUUCAGCAGGUUGAGCGUGACAGCCACCGGCACGAGCUUGCCCUCCUUCAUCAGCGCCUCGCACUUCUGGCCGACCUCGCUGCCGCUCUUCACCUCAGCGCGCAGCAGGUCGCCGGCGCUGAGGUGCACGCACUCAUACUCCUCCUUGAUCUGAUCGCAUUGCGUGCCCUUGCCGCUGCCGGGGCCGCCGAGCACGAACACGAUCUGGGCAUCGGCGGGCAGGCUGCCAGGCACAGGCGGCAGCGCAAUCUCCUGCGGGCACGUGCAGCCGAGGACAUUCAGGUUAGGACCGAAUGGCACCAGCCGCAAUCAGAUGCUACGAAACAAAAGCUAUUACUUCCAUGCGGAGAUUAAUUGGCACAGCUGCUAUCCGUUUCCCGCCCCAGCAGCCCCGCAUUAUAGUCAAAAACGCCGUACAACGCAUCCCGGCUUUCCCUUACCUCUGAAACCGCAGCAGCCGCCUUCUUCGGCGCGUGCAAGCCCUCCAACACCACCUUCACCUUGCCGUACACAUCGUCCGGAGCCGCCACAGCGCUGAUCACGUGGCACUUGCCCUGCGCAAGGUAGUGGUCCUUCACAGGCAGCGACUGCUCCAGGAAGGUGUGGAAGCGCUUGCGAAUGGUGUCGGCGUUGUCGUCGCUGCGGCCGCUGGUCUCCCCGCGCUUCAGCAGGCGCUUCUCCAUCUCCUCCUCCGGGCAGUCAAAGAACAGCACCGUCUUGCACGGCAUAAUGCUGCUCUCAAACUGCUCCGCCUGGUCCAGCGCGCGCGGAAAGCCGUCGAUGAGGAAGAACUUGCCACCGCUGGCUAUCAUGUCCCGCUUCAGCAGGUUGAGCGUGACAGCCACCGGCACGAGCUUGCCCUCCUUCAUCAGCGCCUCGCACUUCUGGCCGACCUCGCUGCCGCUCUUCACCUCAGCGCGCAGCAGGUCGCCGGCGCUGAGGUGCACGCACUCGUAGUCGGCCUUAAUCUUGUCGCAUUGCGUGCCCUUGCCGCUGCCGGGGCCGCCGAGCACGAACACGAUCUGGGCAUCGGCAGGCAGGCUGCCAGGCACAGGCGGCAGCGCGAUGUCCUGUUGCAUGAACGGAGAGCACAGAAGGAGGCAAGACGUUUCAGUUUUACAGUGACCAAACAUCCACUUGGCGCUACGGCCCGAGUGCUUCCCAAAGCACCCAUAGCAUCCUGCUGUCGCAUACAGCGCUGUGCGCAUCCCGAAAUUAAAGCCCCAACAAUUGGACAUAAGACAAGCCCAUGUCCAUUCACGACCCAAAUCUACGUGCUCAGGUCACGGCGCCGCAAAGUCCACCCAAGCAAAGCCCCACCCACCUCGGACUUCUUGGGUGCGCCCAUAGCGUCCAGCGCCGCCUUCACCUUGCCGUACACUUCCUUUGGGGGAGGGACAGCGCUGAUCACGUGGCACUUGCCCUGCGCAAGGUAGUGGUCCUUCACAGGCAGCGACUGAUCCAGGAAGGUGCGGAAGCGCUUGCGAAUGGUGUCGGCGUUGUCGUCGCUGCGGCCGCUGGUCUCCCCGCGCUUCAGCAGGCGCUUCUCCAUCUCCUCCUCCGGGCAGUCAAAGAACAGCACCGUCUUGCACGGCAUGAUGCUGCUCUCAAACUGCUCCGCCUGGUCCAGCGCGCGUGGAAAGCCGUCGAUGAGGAAGAACUUGCCGCCGCUGGCUAUCAUGUCCCGCUUCAGCAGGUUGAGCGUGACAGCCACCGGCACGAGCUUGCCCUCCUUCAUCAGCGCCUCGCACUUCUGGCCAACCUCGCUGCCGCUCUUCACCUCAGCGCGCAGCAGGUCGCCGGCGCUGAGGUGCACGCACUCAUACUCCUCCUUGAUCUGAUCGCAUUGCGUGCCCUUGCCGCUGCCGGGGCCGCCGAGCACGAACACGAUCUGGGCGUCGGCAGGCAGGCUGCCGGGCACGGGCGGCAGCGCAAACUCCUGCAUAGGGACGAAAAUGCAAUGGAAAUCAGCAAGCCGAGAUUAAUAAUCAGUGGAAACUUACGCAUCAGUACACUUGCACUUCAGUACGCAUCCUACUACCGGGAGGAUACGGUAAGGCAGGCAGGCAGAGGCCAUCGAUUUCACGCUUGCCCCAGCUUUCCGUACGAUGUACCGUAUGCUAGGUUGCUUGACCGGAACCCGUGCAAGACGCACACGGAUAUACCACCGGUGAACAGCCAUGACCGCUCACCUCCAAAGCAGCCGCAGCAGGAGUAGCCGAAACUGUCGCAGUCACGCCCGCCUUCUUCGGCGCGUGCAAGCCCUCCAGCACCACCUUCACCUUGCCGUACACAUCGUCCGGAGCCGCCACAGCGCUGAUCACGUGGCACUUGCCCUGCGUAAGGUAGUGGUCCUUCACAGGCAGCGACUGAUCCAGGAAGGUGCGGAAGCGCUUGCGAAUGGUGUCGGCGUUGUCGUCGCUGCGGCCGCUGGUCUCCCCGCGCUUCAGCAGGCGCUUCUCCAUCUCCUCCUCCGGGCAGUCGAAGAACAGCACCGUCUUGCACGGCAUGAUGCUGCUCUCAAACUGCGCCGCCUGGUCCAGCGCGCGCGGAAAGCCGUCGAUGAGGAAGAACUUGCCGCCGCUGGCUAUCAUGUCCCGCUUCAGCAGGUUAAGCGUGACAGCCACCGGCACGAGCUUGCCCUCCUUCAUCAGCGCCUCGCACUUCUGGCCGACCUCGCUGCCGCUCUUCACCUCAGCGCGCAGCAGGUCGCCGGCGCUGAGGUGCACGCACUCGUAGUCGGCCUUAAUCUUGUCGCAUUGCGUCCCCUUGCCGCUGCCGGGGCCGCCGAGCACGAACACGAUCUGGGCGUCGGCAGGCAGGUUGCCGGGCACAGGUGGCAGCGCGAUGUCCUGCAUAAAAGCAACCAAGGGAACAAACGUGCAAUCAUAAGGUGUUGGCUGUGGCGCCGACCAUGACCCAGUGCCCUUGUACACAAAGCAAUGGGGCGUGCCGUACGCGCCGCACACACAGAACAGCGGUUUGGUGGCUGGAAACAUAAGAUGCGGCACGGUAUCCCUAUCUGCAGGUCGGCUUCUCAAGUGUUCAACUUAGGCAAGACGCACCUCCGAAGCAGCCGGGGCCGCUGCAAGUGCCGUCGCCGCUGCGCUCGCCUUCUUCGGCGCGUGCAAGCCCUCCAGCACCACCUUCACCUUGCCGUACACAUCGUCCGGAGCCGCCACAGCGCUGAUCACGUGGCACUUGCCCUGCGUAAGGUAGUGGUCCUUCACGGGCAGCGACUGAUCCAGGAAGGUGUGGAAGCGCUUGCGAAUGGUGUCGGCGUUGUCGUCGCUGCGGCCGCUGGUCUCCCCGCGCUUCAGCAGGCGCUUCUCCAUCUCCUCCUCCGGGCAGUCAAAGAACAGCACCGUCUUGCACGGCAUGAUGCUGCUCUCAAACUGCUCCGCCUGGUCCAGCGCGCGUGGAAAGCCGUCGAUGAGGAAGAACUUGCCGCCGCUGGCUAUCAUGUCCCGCUUCAGCAGGUUGAGCGUGACAGCCACCGGCACGAGCUUGCCCUCCUUCAUCAGCGCCUCGCACUUCUGGCCAACCUCGCUGCCGCUCUUCACCUCAGCGCGCAGCAG